This 76-nucleotide transfer RNA is filed under the name Sulfuricaulis limicola. RNAcentral's name for it is "tRNA-Lys". It matches the Rfam family "tRNA". Rfam says of the family: Transfer RNA (tRNA) molecules are approximately 80 nucleotides in length. Lineage: Bacteria; Pseudomonadati; Pseudomonadota; Gammaproteobacteria; Acidiferrobacterales; Acidiferrobacteraceae. The record is from RNAcentral. RNAcentral also lists the same sequence under 6 other names.
GGGCCGUUAGCUCAGUCGGUAGAGCAGCUGGCUUUUAACCAGUUGGUCGGCAGUUCGAAUCUGCCACGGCCCACCA